UAGAGUUUGAUCAUGGCUCAGGAUGAACGCUAGCGACAGGCCUAACACAUGCAAGUCGAGGGGCAGCACGGUGUAGCAAUACACGGGUGGCGACCGGCGCACGGGUGAGUAACGCGUAUGCAACCUGCCUACUACAAGGGGAUAACCCGUUGAAAGACGGACUAAUACCCUAUAACACAGGGGAUCCGCAUGGAUAUAUUUGUUAAAGAUUUAUCGGUAGUAGAUGGGCAUGCGUUCCAUUAGCUUGUUGGUGAGGUAACGGCUCACCAAGGCAACGAUGAAUAGGGGAACUGAGAGGUUGAUCCCCCACACUGGAACUGAGACACGGUCCAGACUCCUACGGGAGGCAGCAGUGAGGAAUAUUGGUCAAUGGACGAGAGUCUGAACCAGCCAAGUCGCGUGAAGGAAGACGGCCCUACGGGUUGUAAACUUCUUUUGUAAGGGAAUAAAUAGUCUUACGCGCUAAGACGUUGCAGGUACCUUACGAAUAAGGAUCGGCUAACUCCGUGCCAGCCGCCGCGGUAAUUCA
RNAcentral lists this ribosomal RNA (529 nucleotides) under Bacteroidales bacterium 9bZ. RNAcentral's name for it is "bacterial SSU rRNA". It matches the Rfam family "Bacterial small subunit ribosomal RNA", at positions 1 to 527 of the family's 1533-position model. Lineage: Bacteria; Pseudomonadati; Bacteroidota; Bacteroidia; Bacteroidales. The record is from RNAcentral.